UACGUAGGGUGCGAGCGUUGUCCGGAUUUAUUGGGCGUAAAGAGCUCGUAGGCGGUCUGUCGCGUCUGCUGUGAAAACUCAGGGCUUAACCCUGAGCUUGCAGUGGGUACGGGCAGACUAGAGUGCGGUAGGGAGACUGGAAUUCCGUGGUGAUAGCGGUGAAAUGCGCAGAUAUCAGGAGGAACACCGGUGGCGAAGGCGGGUCUCUGGGCCGUAACUGACGACUGGAG
RNAcentral lists this ribosomal RNA (230 nucleotides) under uncultured bacterium. RNAcentral's name for it is "partial 16S ribosomal RNA". It matches the Rfam family "Bacterial small subunit ribosomal RNA", at positions 524 to 751 of the family's 1533-position model. The record is from RNAcentral.